GACGAACGCUGGCGGCGUGCUUAACACAUGCAAGUCGAACGGAAAGGCCCUGCUUUUGUGGGGUGCUCGAGUGGCGAACGGGUGAGUAACACGUGAGUAACCUGCCCUUGACUUUGGGAUAACUUCAGGAAACUGGGGCUAAUACCGGAUAGGAGCUCCUGCUGCAUGGUGGGGGUUGGAAAGUUUCGGCGGUUGGGGAUGGACUCGCGGCUUAUCAGCUUGUUGGUGGGGUAGUGGCUUACCAAGGCUUUGACGGGUAGCCGGCCUGAGAGGGUGACCGGCCACAUUGGGACUGAGAUACGGACCAGACGCGUACGGGAGGCAGCAGUGGGGAAUAUUGCACAAUGGGCGGAAGCCUGAUGCAGCAACGCCGCGUGCGGGAAGACGGCCUUCGGGUGGUAAACCGCUGUCGCAGGUGACGAAGCGUGAGUGACGGUAAUGGGUAAAGAAGCACCGGCUAACUACGUG
RNAcentral lists this ribosomal RNA (468 nucleotides) under uncultured bacterium. Its description in RNAcentral is "partial 16S ribosomal RNA". It matches the Rfam family "Bacterial small subunit ribosomal RNA", at positions 28 to 507 of the family's 1533-position model. The record is from RNAcentral.